RNAcentral lists this ribosomal RNA (515 nucleotides) under uncultured bacterium. Its description in RNAcentral is "bacterial SSU rRNA". It matches the Rfam family "Bacterial small subunit ribosomal RNA", at positions 28 to 526 of the family's 1533-position model. The record is from RNAcentral.
GACGAACGCUGGCGGCGUGCCUAAUACAUGCAAGUCGAGCGAACUUGCGGGAGCUUGCUCCCAAAAGUUAGCGGCGGACGGGUGAGUAACACGUGGGCAACCUGCCUAUAAGACUGGGAUAACUUCGGGAAACCGGAGCUAAUACCGGAUAAUUCCUUUCCUCUCAUGAGGAAAAGCUGAAAGACGGUUUCGGCUGUCACUUAUAGAUGGGCCCGCGGCGCAUUAGCUAGUUGGUGAGGUAACGGCUCACCAAGGCAACGAUGCGUAGCCGACCUGAGAGGGUGAUCGGCCACACUGGGACUGAGACACGGCCCAGACUCCUACGGGAGGCAGCAGUAGGGAAUCUUCCGCAAUGGACGAAAGUCUGACGGAGCAACGCCGCGUGAGUGAUGAAGGUUUUCGGAUCGUAAAACUCUGUUGUUAGGGAAGAACAAGUACGAGAGUAACUGCUCGUACCUUGACGGUACCUAACCAGAAAGCCACGGCUAACUACGUGCCAGCCGCCGCAGUAACAC